UACGUAGGGUGCAGGCGUUAAUCGGAAUUACUGGGCGUAAAGCGUGCGCAGGCGGUUUGCUAAGACAGGUGUGAAAUCCCCGGGCUUAACCUGGGAACUGCGCUUGUAACUGGCAAGCUAGAGUGUGGCAGAGGGGGGUGGAAUUCCACGUGUAGCAGUGAAAUGCGUAGAGAUGUGGAGGAACACCGAUGGCGAAGGCAGCCCCCUGGGCUAACACUGACGCUCAUGCACGAAAGCGUGGGGAGCAAACGGG
This 253-nucleotide ribosomal RNA is filed under the name uncultured bacterium. RNAcentral describes it as "partial 16S ribosomal RNA". It matches the Rfam family "Bacterial small subunit ribosomal RNA", at positions 524 to 776 of the family's 1533-position model. The record is from RNAcentral.